CCCGAACUCCUACGGGAGGCAGCAGUGGGGAAUAUUGGACAAUGGGGGCAACCCUGAUCCAGCCAUGCCGCGUGUGUGAAGAAGGCCCUCGGGUUGUAAAGCACUUUCAGCGAGGAAGAACGCCUGGUGGUUAAUACCCGCCAGGAAAGACAUCACUCGCAGAAGAAGCACCGGCUAACUCCGUGCCAGCAGCCGCGGUAAUACGGAGGGUGCAAGCGUUAAUCGGAAUUACUGGGCGUAAAGCGCGCGUAGGUGGCUUGAUAAGCCGGUUGUGAAAGCCCCGGGCUCAACCUGGGAACGGCAUCCGGAACUAUCAGGCUAGAGUGCAGGAGAGGAAGGUAGAAUUCCCGGUGUAGCGGUGAAAUGCGUAGAGAUCGGGAGGAAUACCAGUGGCGAAGGCGGCCUUCUGGACUGACACUGACACUGAGGUGCGAAAGCGUGGGUAGCAAACAGGAUUAGAUACCCUGGUAGUCCACGCCGUAAACGAUGUCGACCAGCCGUUGGGUGCCUAGCGCACUUUGUGGCGAAGUUAACGCGAUAAGUCGACCGCCUGGGGAGUACGGCCGCAAGGUUAAAACUCAAAUGAAUUGACGGGGGCCCGCACAAGCGGUGGAGCAUGUGGUUUAAUUCGAUGCAACGG
RNAcentral lists this ribosomal RNA (640 nucleotides) under Halomonas sp. RNAcentral's name for it is "bacterial SSU rRNA". It matches the Rfam family "Bacterial small subunit ribosomal RNA", at positions 330 to 963 of the family's 1533-position model. Lineage: Bacteria; Pseudomonadati; Pseudomonadota; Gammaproteobacteria; Oceanospirillales; Halomonadaceae. The record is from RNAcentral.